This 305-nucleotide ribosomal RNA is filed under the name uncultured bacterium. RNAcentral describes it as "bacterial SSU rRNA". It matches the Rfam family "Bacterial small subunit ribosomal RNA", at positions 338 to 640 of the family's 1533-position model. The record is from RNAcentral.
CCUCCGGGGGGCAGCAGUGCGGAAUAUUGGUCCAUGGACGAGAGUCUGACCCCGCCCCUUCUCUUUCCUUCUUCCUUCCCUCUUUUUUAUCACCUUCUUUUAUAUGGUCCUCCCACAGGGUAUGCAUACCCUCUUGUAUGUACCAUAUGAAUACGGAUCGGCUCACUCCGUGCCAGCAGCCGCGGUCCUACGGCGGAUCCGAGCUUUCUCCUGAUUUCUUUGUGUUCCAGUUCUCGUAGUAGGAUUUUUAAGUCAGUUGUGAAAUGUUGCGGCUCAACCGUAAAAUUGCAGUUGAAACUGGCAGU